RNAcentral lists this long non-coding RNA (663 nucleotides) under Ananas comosus (pineapple). Its description in RNAcentral is "long non-coding RNA (ACOM_LNC010093)". Lineage: Eukaryota; Viridiplantae; Streptophyta; Magnoliopsida; Poales; Bromeliaceae. The record is from RNAcentral.
UUUGGGACGAGACGUGAGGUACGUUCGUAGCGGUCGAUAGAGCUUCCGACCCAGGUUAUCGAUUUAGUUUUUAUCCUUACUAUUCUGUUGUUAUAGCUUAGUUAGUUUAUAUGGUUCAGUUAGAUGAUCAUACUUGAUGUUUGAAUGUUGUGAGCUGGUUGAAUUUGUGGAUUUGUGGAAUUGUGGAUUUGGUUUAUGGAUCUUCAGUUUUGGGAUGUUUGUAUACUUUGUGGUUCGCGGAUUUGUAUUUAUGGAUUUACGCAUCGUGGUUUUCUACUCAUCGAGGUAGUCAGUUUUCAAAAUAGAGUUUCCGUGUGGGAAACAGUUUUCAAAAGAUUUUUGAAUGAUUUUCAUGUAUAAAUGAAUUAGAUUUUAAAAACAAAAGCUUCCGUGUGGGGAGCACUUUUAAAUAGGAUGAUUGUUGUACUGUACAUUGCAUCAUCCAGCGUCUAAGGAGUGUUUAGAGGCAUGCAUCAUCUCUAAGGAUUGUUAGCUGUAUGAAAAUGCAUAUCAUGAAUUGGUUGCUGAUUGAAAAAUGUAGGUUGUGGUUGUGAUCCUGUUGUAUCCGUUGGUACGCCGUGCAAAUACAAAGGAGACUCUGUCCGAGUGAACAGAUGAACUUUGUAUUUGUGGCGGGUCUGUACGUCACGUGGGCCAGGUUGG